AUAAAGUGCCUGAUAAAAGGAUCAAUUUGAUAGAUUGAAUUAUGAUAG
This 48-nucleotide transfer RNA is filed under the name Dolomedes angustivirgatus. Its description in RNAcentral is "tRNA-Ile". Lineage: Eukaryota; Metazoa; Arthropoda; Arachnida; Araneae; Dolomedidae. The record is from RNAcentral.